AAAGGUUAAUUCCGGUGGCGGAUGGGCAUGCGUCGCAUUAGUUAGUUGGCGGUGUAACGGACCACCAAGACGACGAUGCGUAGGGGUUCUGAGAGGAAGGUCCCCCACACUGGUACUGAGACACGGACCAGACUCCUACGGGAGGCAGCAGUGAGGAAUAUUGGUCAAUGGGCGGGAGCCUGAACCAGCCAAGUCGCGUGAGGGAUGACGGCCCUAUGGGUUGUAAACCUCUUUUGCCGGGGAGCAAAGUGCCGCACGUGUGCGGUUUGGAGAGUACCCGGAGAAAAAGCAUCGGCUAACUCCGUGCCAGCAGCCGCGGUAAUACGGAGGAUGCGAGCGUUAUCCGGAUUUAUUGGGUUUAAAGGGUGCGUAGGCGGACGCUUAAGUCAGCGGUAAAAUUGCGGGGCUCAACCUCGUCGAGCCGUUGAAACUGGGUGCCUUGAGUGGGCGAGAAGUACGCGGAAUGCGUGGUGUAGCGGUGAAAUGCAUAGAUAUCACGCAGAACUCCGAUUGCGAAGGCAGCGUACCGGCGCCCAACUGACGCUGAAGCACGAAGGCGUGGGUAUCGAACAGGAUUAGAUACCCUGGUAGUCCACGCAGUAAACGAUGAAUGCUAGUUGUCCGGGGCGAUUGAGUUCUGG
RNAcentral lists this ribosomal RNA (641 nucleotides) under uncultured bacterium. RNAcentral's name for it is "bacterial SSU rRNA". It matches the Rfam family "Bacterial small subunit ribosomal RNA", at positions 202 to 842 of the family's 1533-position model. The record is from RNAcentral.